Molecule: ribosomal RNA, 213 nt
Filed under: uncultured bacterium
Lineage: Bacteria
Description: partial 16S ribosomal RNA
Rfam family: Bacterial small subunit ribosomal RNA
Source: RNAcentral
CGCGUAGGUGGUCUUGUAAGCGGGGGAUGAAAGCCCAUGGCUCACCCAUGGAACUGUCCUUCGGACUGCAAGGCUGGAGGGCGGGGAGGGGGAGGAAUGGAAUUCCCGGUGUAGCGGUGAAAUGCGUAGAUAUCGGGAGGAACGCCGGUGGCGAAAGCGAUUCUCUGGCCCGUCCCUGACACUGAGGCGCGAGAGCUAGGGGAAGGCAAACAA